AUCCAUGUAGGUGGAGUUUAUUACUGCUUUUUACAAGUAAGUGCUAGACAACAGUUUCACGUCAUAGCCCCAUAUUUUGUGCAGGUGAACUGAAUGGCGGAUGGAUAGUUUUUAUGUACUAAGAGGAAGAAUUCCCACGGAACCCUGAGUAAGCUUUAAACCAAAAGGGAAAACAAGGGUUAAGUACAGUGACCACUGACUUUUUGGUUUUGUGUUGCCCCAGAAAUGUAAAGUAGAGAUUGGGCUGUGGAAAUCGUUAGUGCCUUCAAUAGAUUUCUCUCCUAACAAAGCUUCCUUUUAGUUCAACAGGACCAGACAAUAAUCAGGAAAGCAAGUGCAUAAAAACCCAGCAGUGUACUUGUGAACCUCAGUGAACCAGCCUCAGAACGUUGGCUUGUGAAGGCGGCCCUACUUCCUUGCUUCAGCGUCCGCAGCAUUCCCGGUGUGCAUGCCGUUUGUGAGAACUUAGUGUCAACCCUCUUUAUCCAGUGCAAACUUGAAAUUCUGAUGCGCUUUUCCAGGGUGGCAUUUUUUUUUCAGAGUAUUGAAUUUACGAUAUAGUAAUUUAUAGUGUAGCUUUUUAUACAUAAAUGUGAUAUUUUUAAAAGGAGCUACCUGACUCAGUCAGUAUAAUAACAGAGCCUAUUAUAAGCUGAGCUGCACUCGGGGCUCACACUGUGCCAAACAUAAACGUGCAAGUGUGUGUGAAAAGCACGUCUGAUUGUGAAGCCCUUAACUCCCUGCUCCUUAUGUUAAAGUCAGCCUGAAAACCAUGAUGGUUCAUGGUUUAGACAGUUCAGUCUGUAAUUUCACAUUUGCCAGCGUCUAUGCUAAUCCUUAAUUUCUCAGAUCACUAUCAAAAACAUCAAGGAAGUCAGGCUUGGUGGCACAUACCUAUAAUCCCAGUACUUAGAAGCCUGAGGCAAGAAGAUGGUGGUUUUGAGACCAGCCUGGGCUACAUAGUGAGUUCAAGGCCAACCUGAGCUACAUAGUUAUACCCUGUUUCAAA
This 1009-nucleotide long non-coding RNA is filed under the name Rattus norvegicus (Norway rat). RNAcentral's name for it is "long non-coding RNA NONRATT027427". Lineage: Eukaryota; Metazoa; Chordata; Mammalia; Rodentia; Muridae. The record is from RNAcentral.